Molecule: ribosomal RNA, 617 nt
Filed under: Bacillus haikouensis
Lineage: Bacteria; Bacillati; Bacillota; Bacilli; Caryophanales; Bacillaceae
Description: bacterial SSU rRNA
Rfam family: Bacterial small subunit ribosomal RNA
Source: RNAcentral
GCAAGUCGAGCGGAUCGAUGGGAGCUUGCUCCCUGAGAUCAGCGGCGGACGGGUGAGUAACACGUGGGUAACCUGCCUGUAAGACUGGGAUAACUCCGGGAAACCGGGGCUAAUACCGGAUAACUCAGUUCCUCGCAUGAGGAACUGUUGAAAGGUGGCUUUUCGCUACCACUUACAGAUGGACCCGCGGCGCAUUACCUAGUUGGUGAGGUAACGGCUCACCAAGGCAACGAUGCGUAGCCGACCUGAAAGGGUGAUCGGCCACACUGGGACUGAAACACGGCCCAAACUCCUACGGGAGGCAGCAGUAGGGAAUCUUCCGCAAUGGACAAAAGUCUGACGGAGCAACGCCGCGUGAGUGAAAAAGGUUUUCGGAUCGUAAAACUCUGUUGUUAGGGAAAAACAAGUGCCGUUCGAAUAGGGCGGCACCUUGACGGUACCUAACCAAAAAGCCACGGCUAACUACUUGCCACCAGCCGCGGUAAUACGUAGGUGGCAAGCGUUGUCCGGAAUUAUUGGGCGUAAAGCGCGCGCAGGUGGUUUCUUAAGUCUGAUGUGAAAGCCCACGGCUCAACCGUGGAGGGUCAUUGGAAACUGGGGAACUUGAUUGCAAAAAA